GACGAACGCUGGCGGCGUGCUUAACACAUGCAAGUCGAACGGAAAGGCCCUGCUUUUGUGGGGUGCUCGAGUGGCGAACGGGUGAGUAACACGUGAGUAACCUGCCCUUGACUUUGGGAUAACUUCAGGAAACUGGGGCUAAUACCGGAUAGGAGCUCCUGCUGCAUGGUGGGGGUUGGAAAGUUUCGGCGGUUGGGGAUGGACUCGCGGCUUAUCAGCUUGUUGGUGGGGUAGUGGCUUACCAAGGCUUUGACGGGUAGCCGGCCUGAGAGGGUGACCGGCCACAUUGGGACUGAGAUACGGCCCAGACUCCUACGGGAGGCAGCAGUGGGGAAUAUUGCACAAUGGGCGGAAGCCUGAUGCAGCAACGCCGCGUGCGGGAUGACGGCCUUCGGGUUGUAAACCGCUUUCGCCUGUGACGAAGCGUGAGUGACGGUAAUGGGUAAAGAAGCACCGGCUAACUACGUGCCAGCAGCCGCGGUGAUACGUAGGGUGCGAGCGUUGUCCGGAUUUAUUGGGCGUAAAGGGCUCGUAGGUGGUUGAUCGCGUCGGAAGUGUAAUCUUGGGGCUUAACCCUGAGCGUGCUUUCGAUACGGGUUGACUUGAGGAAGGUAGGGGAGAAUGGAAUUCCUGGUGGAGCGGUGGAAUGCGCAGAUAUCAGGAGGAACACCAGUGGCGAAGGCGGUUCUCUGGGCCUUUCCUGACGCUGAGGAGCGAAAGCGUGGGGAGCGAACAGGCUUAGAUACCCUGGUAGUCCACGCUGUAAACGGUGGGUACUAGGUGUGGGGUCCAUUCCACGGGUUCCGUGCCGUAGCUAACGCUUUAAGUACCCCGCCUGGGGAGUACGGCCGCAAGGCUAAAACUCAAAGGAAUUGACGGGGCCCCGCACAAGCGGCGGAGCAUGCGGAUUAAUUCGAUGCAACGCGUAGAACCUUACCUGGGUUUGACAUGGAUCGGGAGUGCUCAGAGAUGGGUGUGCCUCUUUUGGGGUCGGUUCACAGGUGGUGCAUGGCUGUCGUCAGCUCGUGUCGUGAGAUGUUGGGUUAAGUCCCGCAACGAGCGCAACCCUUGUUCACUGUUGCCAGCACGUUAUGGUGGGGACUCAGUGGAGACCGCCGGGGUCAACUCGGAGGAAGGUGGGGAUGACGUCAAGUCAUCAUGCCCCUUAUGUCCAGGGCUUCACGCAUGCUACAAUGGCUGGUACAGAGAGUGGCGAGCCUGUGAGGGUGAGCGAAUCUCGGAAAGCCGGUCUCAGUUCGGAUUGGGGUCUGCAACUCGACCUCAUGAAGUCGGAGUCGCUAGUAAUCGCAGAUCAGCAACGCUGCGGUGAAAAAGGUCCCGGGGCU
RNAcentral lists this ribosomal RNA (1346 nucleotides) under uncultured bacterium. RNAcentral's name for it is "partial 16S ribosomal RNA". It matches the Rfam family "Bacterial small subunit ribosomal RNA", at positions 28 to 1381 of the family's 1533-position model. The record is from RNAcentral.